UUCUUUGUUUAUAUAAUUUAUAACCUAAACCUAGACAGUUUUGUUUUUAUUUUAAAUAAAACUGAAACUGUCUAAACUAAAAUGGAUAAUAUUCUUGAAGAACUUUUGUUUGGGGACGAAAUUAGCAAAUGCCGUUAUACAUUUAGCAGAUGUACCUACCUCAAAUUAUUCCAGAAGGAUGAGAUGAAAUUAAAUAUAUAUAAACCAUAAUUCAAUAUCCAAUUUAGAGAACAUUUUCGUAUGUCCAGAACUACUUUCCAGGAACUAUUUAAUUGUAUUGGUCAUAUCCACCAAUUUGAAAACAGAAUAAUUCUAUUGGAAAAAAUUAAUGUUUAUGAUGUGGAUGCUAAGUAAACCAGAUAAUUUGUUGCUGGGGAUACGUUUGGUUUGCCAAAGAGCUCUGGACAUAAGAUUUUCACCCAAAUAAUAUAGAAUUACAAAAAAUUGGAAAUAACUAAUCUUGAAUAUCAAUGUGUAUAUUGAGUUUAAUUUUAUUGUAAAUAUUCUAUAAUAUAAUUUUAUUGUAAAUAUUGUAUUAACACAUUUGUGGACACAUUUUCAUAUGCAGACAGUAAUUUCCCUUUGUAAGUACAUGCAUAUAUAGUCGUAUCUGCGAAUGGGUUAAUUGUAAAUCGUAAUCAAUAAAAAUUUUUUGUGAAUCAAUAAAAAACUGGUUUGUUUGAAAAUAAAUGUAGUACAAAUGUG
Molecule: long non-coding RNA, 705 nt
Organism: Diabrotica virgifera virgifera (western corn rootworm)
Lineage: Eukaryota; Metazoa; Arthropoda; Insecta; Coleoptera; Chrysomelidae
Exons: 2
Source: RefSeq, a predicted model, not a curated record